GGCUUCGUAGCUCAGCGGGUAGAGCAUUUGCCGUGUCUAGGCAUGUUGUUUCUGUCGCUGGUUUUAAUCCAGCCGAAGUUC
Molecule: transfer RNA, 81 nt
Filed under: Paragonimus heterotremus
Lineage: Eukaryota; Metazoa; Platyhelminthes; Trematoda; Plagiorchiida; Troglotrematidae
Rfam family: tRNA
About the family: Transfer RNA (tRNA) molecules are approximately 80 nucleotides in length. Their secondary structure includes four short double-helical elements and three loops (D, anti-codon, and T loops). Further hydrogen bonds mediate the characteristic L-shaped molecular structure. tRNAs have two regions of fundamental functional importance: the anti-codon, which is responsible for specific mRNA codon recognition, and the 3' end, to which the tRNAs corresponding amino acid is attached (by aminoacyl-tRNA synthetases). tRNAs cope with the degeneracy of the genetic code in two manners: having more than one tRNA (with a specific anti-codon) for a particular amino acid; and 'wobble' base-pairing, i.e. permitting non-standard base-pairing at the 3rd anti-codon position.
Source: Rfam by way of RNAcentral